UCGUCUGUAGCUGUUGCAAUAAGUUAUCAAGCACGGCUAAGCCUUUGUUCCGACUGAAGUGCGGAAUACAAGUAUGCUUGCACAACCUUCUCGUCUGGCUCGAGUUUCAGACUCUACCCAAACUGUACCCAAACUGGCAAAGUUCUGGCAAAGUUAUCACACCUUCUCGCAUUUCUCAGACACCGGCGGAGAUUGGCAUACCGCAGCAAAAGAAGCUGACCACCAUACUGUCCGAGGUGGAGUCGAGCAAAUGCAGGUCAGAGGAACGAGGAACGAGGGAGGACCUUUCCUAGGUUUUCCGUUACUAGUGGCUGCAGGGGAAGGAGAGGUCGGAGAAGAUGGCCAACGAAAUGGUAGUGGACGUGAGCAAGUUGCUCAAGUUUUGUGCUGAGCCUGUUACAUCGGAGGCCUCAAGAGGAACUUGCUCCUGGCUUACGGCUCAAAGACGACGGCAAAGCUGGACACUUUCGAGUCUGCCCUCAAGUACUUGAGAGUGGAUGAGUCUGUAUAUCAGAACUCCAUCAGGAUGUCGGAGACCACCUGGCGAAAGGACAAGGCCAGGAAACGAGCCACCCGUGGACGUUGUGGCCCUCAUCGAGUUUCCUGUCCUCAGAAGCGUGGCCAACGACUGCUUCCUCAACUUAGUGAUAAGUUGCUGGUUGCUGAACCUGUGCACCACCUUCACAGAUGCACAUAUUAACUCAGUACUUUUCCCCCCUACAGAUGGCCCCGCAGCCGCCAUGGCCGAGUGGAGCAAGAGGCAGUACACCAAGACGCAGGCAGUACACCAACGACAGUGGUAAUGGUCAAAGAGGUCAAAGACAUCAGUGGCAAGGUGCUGCAAGUGUGUCCUCAGGGUGAACAUGUCAGUUCGCCCACAGCAGAUUCAAGACCAUGACCAUCUGUUCCAUGACCAUCUGUUCGAUCUGGCCCGUAUGACAAGUUCACCCAGAGUCCAACUGCUGCUACCAGCGGCUGCUACCAGCGUCCGGCACGAGGACAGCGCUAGACACCUGGCGCACAGACUCAAAUUACUACCAAACAAUAUCAAAUCCCCGACUAAGAUGCACCACCUGCUAAGAAGAAGAAGGCAAAGAGGAAAUCACCACCACCACCACCACCACCACAGAGCGAAGACUGGCUAGACCAACACCUACUUGGGAGGAAAGUAGGAAAGUACGAAGACGACAACGCUGACGAUGAGACGGAGACAAUCUCUACUCUAAAUCAACUGCACAGCAAAUACAGUUUCAGUUUCCAACUUGUACACUAUCUUGGACAUCCCUGCUAGCUAGCCAUUAUUCUAUUCAGCCAUUAUUCUAUUCUCAAGCUAAAGCCUAUUAUUCUCAGUGAUUCAGCUCUAUUGUUAUUCUUCAUUAUAAAAAUCAUAACAUGAGUGAAGAUUCAACAUAAUCUUGAAGGGCAUUCUCUUGUUAAUCACCAAACGAAUUAUUUAGCAAGGAAAAAACCCUUUCUGAUGCAGCAGAUGACGGCUGUAUUAGGAAUAUUCUUCUUGCUGCAGCACCACUCUAAAAUGUUAAACUCUAAAAUGUUAAACUGUUCGUUAGUAUAUUCUACCUUGAGUUCAUUUAGCUGUUGCAUUGAGUGGCUUUCAAGAAGGGUACUGGUUUGUUUACUAUCGGACACAAAACCUCAACUCAAGGCGGCAAGUGAUGACAGUGCUUCUAUGCUCACUUCAGAGAUGGAUGUUGCGUCAAACCUAUCCCAAUCGCUGGGAGCUGGAAUAGCAUAUCCCUCUUCUCAAGAAAAUGAGUAUUAUCACUUCUUGUGCAUACCAAUUUCGUGUUAGAUUAAAUGUGUUAGAUUAAAUGUGCAAUUGGGCUUGGUCACAUCUCAAGACAACUUAAGAAACGUCUAUUUCUCCAGAGGUUGUGGAGUUUGGCACCCAUUCAGCAAAACCUUGAGCAGUCUAAAAUUGAAGUGUUUUUUUGUAGGCAUUUCAAGCAUUUCAAGAGGAAAGAUUGUCUACAAUAGAAAAGGCUGUAAAAAGAAAAAUGGAGCACAAGGUGGCAGUGAAAGAGAAAGACGUGGUACAUUUUUAUUCCUAUUAUUUUUAGUACGAAGGAGUCAACUUGUUGGGGCUCAUAUCAAAAGACGCUCACUUGACAGUCGUUAGGUUUUGACCAAGGAAAAUUGAUUGAUCUCAUCACUCAACCAAAACGCCGAGAUGCAAAAGUCAAAAGUAGUAGUAGUUAUUGAUGAAGUGAAGUGAAAGUUGAAACUACAAGGACGUAACGUAAAUAUCCCGCUCCUUUAAGAUCUUAACCCUUUAACCGUCGGAUUCUUAAUUAACAGUGAAGUGAAAUGUCUGUCCAGAGAUGCCUAGCAACAUACAACAAGGAGGUGCAACAUGUGUUGCCAUAACAACCACGGUUACCGUUUUUAUCAUUUUAAAUGCUCGGCCAGCGGUGAGAUAAAAUCC
This is a long non-coding RNA of Halichondria panicea, 2443 nucleotides long. RefSeq lists it as uncharacterized. The transcript has 3 exons. The record is from RefSeq and is a predicted model, not a curated record. NCBI's taxonomy places the organism in Eukaryota, Metazoa, Porifera, Demospongiae, Suberitida, Halichondriidae.